Molecule: transfer RNA, 73 nt
Filed under: Rhodocyclaceae bacterium
Lineage: Bacteria; Pseudomonadati; Pseudomonadota; Betaproteobacteria; Rhodocyclales; Rhodocyclaceae
Description: tRNA-Phe
Rfam family: tRNA
About the family: Transfer RNA (tRNA) molecules are approximately 80 nucleotides in length. Their secondary structure includes four short double-helical elements and three loops (D, anti-codon, and T loops).
Source: RNAcentral
GGCCAGGUAGCUCAGUUGGUAGAGCAGCGGACUGAAAAUCCGCGUGUCGGCGGUUCGAUUCCGUCCCCUGCCA